This 543-nucleotide ribosomal RNA is filed under the name Debaryomyces hansenii. RNAcentral describes it as "eukaryotic LSU rRNA". It matches the Rfam family "Eukaryotic large subunit ribosomal RNA", at positions 100 to 658 of the family's 3401-position model. The record is from RNAcentral. Lineage: Eukaryota; Fungi; Ascomycota; Pichiomycetes; Serinales; Debaryomycetaceae.
GGCAAAAGCUCAAAUUUGAAAUCUGGCACCUUCGGUGUCCGAGUUGUAAUUUGAAGAAGGUAACUUUGGAGUUGGCUCUUGUCUAUGUUCCUUGGAACAGGACGUCACAGAGGGUGAGAAUCCCGUGCGAUGAGAUGCCCAAUUCUAUGUAAAGUGCUUUCGAAGAGUCGAGUUGUUUGGGAAUGCAGCUCUAAGUGGGUGGUAAAUUCCAUCUAAAGCUAAAUAUUGGCGAGAGACCGAUAGCGAACAAGUACAGUGAUGGAAAGAUGAAAAGAACUUUGAAAAGAGAGUGAAAAAGUACGUGAAAUUGUUGAAAGGGAAGGGCUUGAGAUCAGACUUGGUAUUUUGCGAUCCUUUCCUUCUUGGUUGGGUUCCUCGCAGCUUACUGGGCCAGCAUCGGUUUGGAUGGUAGGAUAAUGACUAAGGAAUGUGGCUCUACUUCGGUGGAGUGUUAUAGCCUUGGUUGAUACUGCCUGUCUAGACCGAGGACUGCGUCUUUUGACUAGGAUGUUGGCAUAAUGAUCUUAAGCCACCCGUCUUGAA